This 500-nucleotide ribosomal RNA is filed under the name uncultured bacterium. Its description in RNAcentral is "partial 16S ribosomal RNA". It matches the Rfam family "Bacterial small subunit ribosomal RNA", at positions 30 to 523 of the family's 1533-position model. The record is from RNAcentral.
AUUGAACGCUGGCGGAAUGCUUUACACAUGCAAGUCGAACGGCAGCACGGACUUCGGUCUGGUGGCGAGUGGCGAACGGGUGAGUAAUACAUCGGAACGUGCCCAGUCGUGGGGGAUAACGUAGCGAAAGCUACGCUAAUACCGCAUACGAUCUAAGGAUGAAAGCGGGGGAUCGCAAGACCUCGCGCGAUUGGAGCGGCCGAUGGCAGAUUAGGUAGUUGGUAGGGUAAAGGCCUACCAAGCCGACGAUCUGUAGCUGGUCUGAGAGGGUGAUCAGCCAAGCUGGGAGUGAGACACGGCGCAGACUCCUACGGGAGGCAGCAGUGGGGAAUUUUGGACAAUGGGCGCAAGCCUGAUUCAGCCAUUCCGCGUGCAGGAUGAAGGCCUUCGGGUUGUAAACUGCUUUUGUACAGAACGAAAAGGCUCUGGUUAAUACCCGGGGCUCAUGACGGUACUGUAAGAAUAAGCACCGGCUAACUACGUGCCAGCAGCCGCCGUAA